AAGCGUUGUUCGGAAUUACUGGGCGUAAAGGGCUCGUAGGCGGCCAACUAAGUCGGACGUGAAAUCCCUCGGCUUAACCGGGGAACUGCGUCCGAUACUGGAUGGCUUGAGUUCGGGAGAGGGAUGCGGAAUUCCAGGUGUAGCGGUGAAAUGCGUAGAUAUCUGGAGGAACACCGGUGGCGAAGGCGGCAUCCUGGACCGACACUGACGCUGAGGAGCGAAAGCCAGGGGAGCAAACGGG
This 241-nucleotide ribosomal RNA is filed under the name uncultured bacterium. RNAcentral describes it as "partial 16S ribosomal RNA". It matches the Rfam family "Bacterial small subunit ribosomal RNA", at positions 536 to 776 of the family's 1533-position model. The record is from RNAcentral.